RNAcentral lists this ribosomal RNA (17 nucleotides) under uncultured fungus. RNAcentral's name for it is "partial 28S ribosomal RNA". The record is from RNAcentral. Lineage: Eukaryota; Fungi.
GACCUCGAAUCAGGUGG